This 209-nucleotide ribosomal RNA is filed under the name uncultured bacterium. RNAcentral's name for it is "partial 16S ribosomal RNA". It matches the Rfam family "Bacterial small subunit ribosomal RNA", at positions 524 to 733 of the family's 1533-position model. The record is from RNAcentral.
UACGUAGGGUGCAAGCGUUGUCCGGAAUUAUUGGGCGUAAAGAGCUCGUAGGUGGCCUGUCGCGUCGGCUGUGAAAAUCGGCGGUCAACUCCGAGCUUGCAGUCGAUACGGGCAGGCUAGAGUUCGGCAGGGGAGACUGGAAUUCCUGGUGUAGCGGUGAAAUGCGCAGAUAUCGGGAGGAACACCGGUGGCGAAGGCGGUUCUGCUGG